CAAUAGCGUAUAUUAAAGUUGUUGCAGUUAAAAAGCUCGUAGUUGGAUUUGUGGUGUACUUCGGCGGCCCGUCACUAUGUGAUGGAGCUUGCUGAAGUCGCCAUCCUUGGGUGGAUUCUGUGUGGCAUUAAGUUGUCGUGCAGGGGAUGCCCAUCGUUUACUGUGAGAAAAUUAGAGUGUUCAAAGCAGGCUUAUGCCGUUGAAUAUGUUAGCAUGGAAUAAUAAGAUAGGACCUUGGUACUAUUUUGUUGGUUUGCGCACCAAGGUAAUGAUUAAUAGGGACAGUUGGGGGUAUUCGUAUUUCAUUGUCAGAGGUGAAAUUCUUGGAUUUUUGAAAGACGAACUACUGCGAAAGCAUUUACCAAGGAUGUUUNCAUUA
Molecule: ribosomal RNA, 379 nt
Filed under: uncultured eukaryote
Lineage: Eukaryota
Description: partial 18S ribosomal RNA
Rfam family: Eukaryotic small subunit ribosomal RNA
Source: RNAcentral